CGCCGAGACGAAGCUCUGGGUCGAGAGCGACGCCUUGGUGAUCCCGAGCAACAAUGGCGUAUAUUUGGCGGGAUUCCCGCCCUCGGCGACCA
RNAcentral lists this transfer RNA (92 nucleotides) under Candidatus Eiseniibacteriota bacterium. RNAcentral describes it as "tRNA-OTHER". Lineage: Bacteria; Candidatus Eiseniibacteriota. The record is from RNAcentral.